UACGUAGGAUGCAAGCGUUGUCCGGAAUUAUUGGGCGUAAAGAGUUCGUAGGUGGUUAUCUAAGUCUGGUGUUAAAGACGGGAGCUCAACUCCCGCAUGGCAUCGGAAACUGGAUGGCUAGAGUGUGAAAGAGGUAACUGGAAUUCCUGGUGUAGCGGUGAAAUGCGCAGAUAUCAGGAGGAACACCUGUGGCGAAAGCGAGUUACUGGUUCAUUACUGACACUGAGGAACGAAAGCUAGGGUAGCAAAAGGGAUUAGAUACCCCUGUAGUCCUAGCCGUAAACGAUGGAUACUAGGUGUUGGAGGUUUCGACCCCUUCAGUGCCGUAGCUAACGCGAUAAGUAUCCCGCCUGGGGAGUACGACCGCAAGGUUGAA
Molecule: ribosomal RNA, 376 nt
Filed under: uncultured bacterium
Lineage: Bacteria
Description: bacterial SSU rRNA
Rfam family: Bacterial small subunit ribosomal RNA
Source: RNAcentral